RNAcentral lists this long non-coding RNA (206 nucleotides) under Lathyrus oleraceus (garden pea). RNAcentral's name for it is "Pisum sativum (pea) long non-coding RNA (PSAT_LNC030850)". Lineage: Eukaryota; Viridiplantae; Streptophyta; Magnoliopsida; Fabales; Fabaceae. The record is from RNAcentral.
AGCUUGGGAAAUUAAACCUUGGUCAUUAGCGGGAGAAGAUUGUUCAAAGAUCGGGGAAUGAUCAACUAGGAACACUAGUAAAUGAAGGAUUAGUCGUUAACCUAUAAAGAACAAAAGUUAAAUGAUUUGUCAAGGUUAAUGAUUUUACAUACUCAAAGAACUGCGGUGUGAAUCUAGGCAAUGAUUCGUAAGUUGAUGAGUUUUUU